Molecule: ribosomal RNA, 497 nt
Filed under: uncultured bacterium
Lineage: Bacteria
Description: partial 16S ribosomal RNA
Rfam family: Bacterial small subunit ribosomal RNA
Source: RNAcentral
GAUGAACGCUGGCGGCGUGCUUAAUACAUGCAAGUCGAACGAACAGACGCCGACCUUGCUCCUCACACGUUUGCCGCGCACGGGUGAAUAACACGUGGAUACCCUACCUACAAGAGUGGGAUAACUGCGGGAAACCGGAGCUAAUCCCGUAUAAUAUAUUGAUCCGCAUGGUUCUAUAGAGAAAGACGGUGUUGCUUUCACUUAUAGAUUGUCCCGCGCUGCAUUAGCUAGUUGGUUAGGUAACGGCUUACCAAGGCCACGAUGCGUAGCCGACCUGAGAGGGGGGUCGCCGACACUGGAGCUGGGACGCGGUCCAGGCUCCUACGGGAGGCAGCAGUAGGGAAUCUGCCGCAAUGGGCGAGAGCCUGACGGAACAACGGCGCGUGAGUGAUGGAGGUCUUCGGAUCGGAAAGCUCUCUUAUUAGGGAAAAACAAAUGUGUCAGUAACUAUACCCGUAUUGACGGUACCUAAUCAGAAAGCAACGGCUAACUACGUG